GAAAAAUUUGUACGACUUGGUCAAAAUCCUAGGAAAUAUUGGCACAGAAACAUGGCCCAAUGUUGAUGGCUUCGCGACGUCCCUGCGCCGAACUAUUAGAAAAGUGAUGGGAUGUGUGUCAAAAACAAAAAAAAAGGAAAAAGAAAGAGAAACAAAUUCGAGCAAGGUAAUAAAAAGAAACUGAAAAACGUUAAUUCAGACACACAGAAAACAUUCCUACCACACUUAAUGUCAAGAAUAAAAAUGCCCAUCUGAUCUUCUCCCUCCCCCCAUCACUUUUCCAAUGGUCAUCCCUUACGUAUGCGACGCGGCGAGAUCUUACUAGAUUACUAAUAGUAAAUAAAUAUUCUUGUAUCGAAUAUCUGGUAAAUUUUUACCAAAUACAAUUGCACGAGCGAUUAUAUCUAAUUUAGUGUGCAGUGAUAACCAAUUUGUGCAGUGAUAAAAGCAAAAUGUUCAGUGAUAAAAUGUGAAAUGUUCAGUGAUAAAAUUUGCUUUGAUAAAUUGUUUAUAAAUAACA
Non-coding RNA from Paramuricea clavata, 520 nucleotides. NCBI's taxonomy places the organism in Eukaryota, Metazoa, Cnidaria, Anthozoa, Malacalcyonacea, Plexauridae. The record is from the annotation of a GenBank genome assembly.